AUGGCUGGAAAGGAUAAUGAAGAAAUUCUGCACGUGGUUCAACCAAGGGUGACAAAAGAGAUGAAUGAUAUACUGUGUGCUGAGUAUACAAAGGAGGAGGUGAAACGGGCCUUAGACAACAUAGGUGACCUGAAAGCACCAGGACCUGAUGGUAUGCCAGCCAUAUUCUUUAAAAGAUUUUGGCAAAUUGUUGGGAACCAGGUCACAAAGGAGGUUCUUCAAAUAUUGAGAGGAGAAGAAAUGCUUGAAGGGUGGAAUUAUACGCUAAUAGUAUUAAUUCCGAAGAAUGCCAACCCAGCAAGCAUAAAGGAUUUGAGACCAGGCUUAAGGUAA
This 333-nucleotide ribosomal RNA is filed under the name Triticum aestivum (bread wheat). RNAcentral's name for it is "partial small subunit ribosomal RNA". Lineage: Eukaryota; Viridiplantae; Streptophyta; Magnoliopsida; Poales; Poaceae. The record is from RNAcentral.